This 251-nucleotide ribosomal RNA is filed under the name uncultured prokaryote. RNAcentral's name for it is "partial 16S rRNA". It matches the Rfam family "Bacterial small subunit ribosomal RNA", at positions 525 to 775 of the family's 1533-position model. The record is from RNAcentral.
ACGUAGGGGGCGAGCGUUGUCCGGAAUCACUGGGCGUAAAGCGCACGUAGGCGGUGUGUCAAGUCGGCUGUGAAAGCCACCGGCUCAACCGGGGCACGUCAGUCGAUACUGGGAUGCUUGAGUGCCGGAGAGGGAGGCGGAAUUCCCGGUGUAGGAGUGAAAUCCGGAGAUCUCUGGAGGAACACCAGUGGCGAAGGCGGCCUCCUGGCCCGUAACUGACGCUGAGGUGCGAAAGCUGGGGGAGCAAACAG